This 7623-nucleotide long non-coding RNA is filed under the name Salvia miltiorrhiza (redroot sage). RNAcentral's name for it is "long non-coding RNA (SMIL_LNC005780)". The record is from RNAcentral. Lineage: Eukaryota; Viridiplantae; Streptophyta; Magnoliopsida; Lamiales; Lamiaceae.
CGAGUUAUUAUUUUGGAGGCCCAAACUCAUUGCUAUUACGGAUAUUUUCACAAGCUGAUCAGAAUACCAUCAAAAGCCAUUUUUUUUAUGUGAGGAUUAAUGGAAGGGGUUUCAUCCACGCUGCCAAUUUCCUCCGAUAAAACCCCCUCCACGUAUCAAAUCCAUCACCAACUCCUUACUAUAAUCCAUCACCCAACUCUCACCGAGCAUCAGCCACCGGUGGAGCUCUUCUCUAUCUCCAUCAGUCUACAAGAAGAAAUUCCAUCAUAUCCUCCUUCUCUUCAAAUCAUCUGCAGGCAUAGCAACCCCACAAAACAAAAGUUCCAUCUUCAACCAACUCCCAUUCUCACAGAGAAACCAAAAAUCAUUUUUCACAAGAGGUAAACCAACUCUCACUAAUCAAUCAUUUGUUUCACAAAGAAGCUAUCUUUUUCAUGUUUUUGUUGGCGUGUGCGUGUGUAUGUGUGCUGCUGUGUGCGUGAGUUCUUAGAACUGUCGUCGUCGUUGUGGCGAGUCGGGCAGGUUGGGAUCGAGAGAGAACAGGGGAGGAUCCGGCGACGGCAGUGGUGGCCUGAGGCUCCUACUGGCCGUCUGCCAGAAAUAGAGAGAGAAAGAGGAGCGGCGGUCCGGCUGACUGCUGCUGUCGGCUGGAGCAGAGGGGGAUGGCUGCAGAACGAAGCCGCCGGCGCUGCGCGCCACGGCGGCCGACGGAGGAAGAGAAGGGGGCAGCGGGGCGGUGGCCUAUUAGCUGCUGCUGCUUGCCGGUUGGACGGAGAGAAGGGUUAGGCGAGAGGGAGACAGAGGAGGUGGCGAUGGCGUCGGCCGCAGCUGCUGUUGUCGCCGACAGUCGCUGAUGGCGACGACUUCGCCGGAGGAAGGAGGCGGUGGAUGGGUAGGCGGGAGCUUAGGGCUUUUGACGAUUUUGGGGAUUUAGGAUUUCUGCUUUUGGGGGUUCGGUGAGUUGAGGGAGGAGGGAGAAAGAUAGAGAGAGGGAGGUAUUAGCGUAAGAAAAAGGAAAGGGGAAAGGUACUUGGGCCUUGGGCCUUUUAUUUAAUAAAGUGGGCUGCAUUUUUAUAACUUGGGCUAUUAAUUUUUUUUUUUUUGUGCUGCAUUUUUGCAUGAAGAAGGCCUCUUAUUAAAUUAUUAAUCGGGCCAUGAAUUUACUUAUUUGUGAAUUGAGUUUUUAAAGUAAAAGCCGAGCAAGGGUAUUAUUAAAACCCUUAGCCAAGAAAAAUGAUUUUCAAGUUUUAUGUUGAAUUUUUUUUGAAAACCCGGGUGUUGCGAAUCUAGUUAGAAAAUUAUGAUAAGUCAUGAAGGUUAAGCUUGAUUUUAGGACUAUGAGUUUAAGUUGAGAACUUAUCUUGUAGGUCCUACAGAAGAGGAUAUUUAGGCUCUUGGUCAGCUGAGUUAUAUUGUUUGGAUAUUCUCCAAAUCAGGUGAGGCUUUAUUUACGAAAUGUAUGUUUGAGCUAAUAAGCUCGUUUUUAUGAAAAGUUAAAGUUGAUGGUUCAUGCUUAAAAUGUUUUUGCUCUCUAUUGGUUAUUGCUUCUACCAGAACAUUGUUGGCUCCGCCAACCAGAACAUUGUUAGCUCUGCUAACCAGAAUUGUGUACGUACACCAGAACCUGUUGUCUCGAGAGAUCGGUGACAACCAGUUGUAGAUAGCAUGCCCAAUAGAUGGCCAGGAAAAUACGAGCUCAGAUUAUUUUAGUAUGCAUGGAAUGACUCACUUUAAAAACAUUCUGUGUUAUACUGUUUAAGGCAUGAAUUAUCUUUUUCACUAAAUAAUUUUUAAAAUGUUUUUAAAUGGCUCAACCCACUGAGUACACUAGUACUCAGCCCUGCAAUUGUUUUCAAAACCUUUUGCAGAUUGAGCAGCUGGUGGUGACGUGCGAGGCUGAGGAAGAGUUGUUGCUAUGGAUUUUGAAGAAAUGCUAUGUUUACUUCCGCUGAAAUAAAUUCACUUAGUGAAUAUUGUCUGAUGCCUAACUUUGUUAAUACUUUUAUUCAUAUUUUUGAUAUGAAUUUCACUCUCCAUCACUUUCCUAGCGAUUGUUUUCCGCACCUAUUAUAUGCUUAGUAUGAGACGUUGUCUUGGUCUCAGACCUUCGAACUUUCGAUCCUGAUAGGGAGAAUAAUUAUGUUAUAAUAUCGUACUUGUUCUCAUUUAAAUACGGCAUAAUGCCCAAUCCUCAGGGCACAUUACCUAUUUUAUUCAAGUAAAGCUUAGUAAUCCUGUCACAUAGCCCAUUUCUUUUUCUCCCGGGAAAUCAGGGCUGUCACAAAUGGUAUCAGAGCAAAAGUUCUUGGCUCUGAGACCGCUAUUUCAUUGAUGUUGAGUCUAGAAUAGCAUCUCUAGACUUCUAAGCUACACAGCAACCCUCAGCUCGCCUUCACACCGCUCUCAAGAAAGAAAGGUACGCCAUUUUAACAAAUUUUACUUAAAGUGUGUACAAGUAUUUAAAGUGGUUUUAAAAGCAAGAGUUCUUGUUAAAAGAAAAUAUUUCAGUUUGUUGUAUUAUUUUACAACUAGAUUCCCAAAAAGAUGUUAUUUCGAGCUUUAGCUUGAAUAACCAGAAAGUUUGUCAUGUUUUAUGACUAGAAAGAUUUGUCAUAUCCAGAAAGUUUGUCAUGUUUGUAUGACCAGAAAGAUUUGUCAUAUUCAUGACCAGAAAGUUGUCAUAUUUUUAUGACCAGUAUUUGAGCUUUGACUCCAGAAUCAGUUAUAUGUUACAACCAGAACAGUCAGUGAAAUUGUCAUAAUGAUUUUUACGUCUUUAUGACCAGCAGCUAUUAAUAGGCAGACCUAGUUUGUCGCCUCAGUUAUUAGUUCAGACAGGUGUAAUUUUCUCGUAGCUAGAGAAAUACACUAGAUAGUAGCAUGCUAAUCUUAUGAGAUAGACUCCUAGCAUGAAGCGCUAGAAGAAUCAAGAAAAGUUAGAGUGCUCUACAGAAACACGUAUAACUUAGAAAGCUCGAAUGGAAAGAUAGAACGAAGCAAGACAGAACAUAGAAAGACAUCAUACGAAGAGAAAGAACAUAGAAGUUUAGAAUUUAGAAAGAUAGAUCACAGAAGACAAAAGAGAAGAACAAGACGUCAAAGAACGAGCCGAAGAUAAGCCGAACGACACAUAAACGGUACCAUGCCAUCUACAAGUAUGAAAGACUCAAGGACUUUGCACGAACAUGUACUGAUCAAUUUGAAGCUAACGCAACCUCGCCACAAGCUAAGAAGAAUUUGAAGCUACAAAAAGAAGAAGACCCCACUAAAUAGUCGGGUUAUCGAUUAUAUACUUCCUAACCAUAAACCUUUCGUUGAAGACCUUUAUUUCAUUUUAAUUAAAGUCCCGACACUUCUGGGCAUAUAUGUAUCCCUAAAGUAAAUCUUUUAAAGAGCUUAAUUUCUCUUGUCUAAAAAGCCCUGAUACUUUUGAACGCACAAAAGGACCAUUUUGAAAAGACCUUAUUUUACUAAAAUCACUUGAGAAUUCUCUUUCGAGGCAUAAAUUUUUCAUUCUUACCUUUAUGAGUUUUUCAUUCACACCUUGAUGAGUGUUGUUGUUGUCUCUCUCUCGCAACACACCUAGUUAUUUUUACUUAUGCACUUCCAAUAUUAUUAAGCUUUCACUAACCAAGUUGUUUCUACAGAAUGGCCGGAGAAGAAGAAAGGGUACCUAACGCCGAAGAACCUACGCUGCAAGCCGCACCAGAGCGCAGAGCGAGUGAAAGGUUCCGCAAGCAUAAUCCACCCAUUUUCAAUGGAAUGGGAGAUCCAAUGGAUGCAGAAAAAUGGAUCCGAUCAUUGGAGCGAAUCUUUGACUUCAUGGGUCUUACUGAUAAGGAGCGUUUGACAUGCGCUAUCUUUCAACUAACAGACGAGGCCGACUAUUGGUGGGAGUCAAUGCAAAGAACAUUAUCGCCACAACAAUGGGAGGCAUAUACGUGGGAAAAUUUCAAAGCAGAAUUGUACGAGAAGUAUAUUCCUCAGAGUUACCGAAUUAAGAAAGAGUCCGAAUUCUAGAACCUUCGACAAGAGAACAGAUCUGUAACUGAGUACGAUAGAUUGUUUGUCCAGUUAUCACGCUACGCUCCACACUUGGUGGAUACUGAGGAGAAAAGAUCUGAGAAGUUCAGGCGAGGCCUACGACACGAAAUAGGAAUGCCUUUGGCCAGUCAAGGGAUACUAACUUAUGCUCAAUCUUUGAGCAGAGCUCGAGAUAUUGAAGCUAUGAUGCCAGAAGAAAUGAAAGCACCUAUUCAUGCCCUUGACGAUAAGCGUGUGAAUAACAAACGAAAAAGAGCAUGGCAAGGAACAAAUCAACAAAUACAGCAAGAUCAACAAGAAGGGCGAAAUGACCAGCAACAAGUACCAUUUUGCCAUAAUUGCCACAAAAAUCACUUCGGAGUUUGCAAAGCUGGAAGCGACGCUUGCUACAAGUGUGGAGAAAAGGGUCACUUUGCUCGACAAUGCCCAGGAACACCACUGGGAGGCCCUCAGCAGCAAAAUCAAAACAAGGAAGAAACCGAGGCAAAAGACCACUCCAAAUGGCCAGAGCUUAUGCCCUUAACCAGCAACAUACAGCUCAGGCAACUGAAGACUUGGAAGGUACGAUCAUAUAAUUGACGUACUAGAAUAAGUAGAGUUUGUAGUAAUAAUAAGUUAUCUUUCAGGAUGAUAUUCAGAUCAAGAAAGCAAGCAUAUUUUCAGUAGAAUCACUAACAGAAUGAGUAUAUGAUAGCUAUAAGUGAAAUGACACUUAGAAGUUCGAAAUUUCGAGGACGAAAUUUUUUUUAAGGAGGGAGGGUUGUAAUACCCGAAUUUUUCUCAAUAUGAUUUUAGAAGAAUGAUUGGGUUUAGAAUUAAGUCGAUUCGCACCCCGGAGAAAAUUUGUUUUAAUUCAGAUAAAUGGUUUGUUAAAAUUUUGAGGCAAAUUUGUCAAUGGGCCUUAUUUGAUUAUGAUAUGGGAUCAUUUAUUUUUUUUAUAGUGGGCCGAGUUAUUAUUUUGGAAGCCCAAACCCAUUACUAUUAUCCGAUAUUAAGAAAAGCAUGUGUAGUUUUGAAUUAGAUAUUUUAUUAUUUUAUUUAUUAAUUAUUGGAAGGGGUUCAUCCACGUCACAUGUUUUCCCUUUUAUUCCCUAUAAAAUCCAUGUGUAGAUCAGCCAAAUCUUUCACCCAAAACUCUCAACAAAUCCAUCACCCAACUCGUAACUCAGCAAUCAGUGGAGCUUUUCCCUUCUUCAAUUCUUUUCAACAACAAGCUUAUCAUUUUUCUUCUUUCACGGAAGGUUUCUGCUUCUGUAUUUUUACAGAAAGCCUGCAUUGAUCUCAUCUAUGAUAAUCCACACAGACAACAACCCACAAAAUCCUUGAGAAAAGGUUUGAUCUUACACCCAUCUAUUCAUGACUUAUAUACUCUUUUCACUACUUCACAAAGAAGACAAUCACGGAUGGCACAUACAUAUUUCAUAUACAGAAUCAACACUAACAAGGAUUUCACUUUUCACUCAUAAGAACAAAACAUGUAUUGAAAUUUGUAGAUUUAUUUACACACCUGCAAAUCUUGUCUUAUAAUUGAGAUCAUUAAAGAGAUGGAAUAAAAAGAAGAAGCUUUUUGUGUAUAUGUUGGUGUGUGUACUGCUGUGUGCGUGAGUCUUAGAGGGGCUGUGUCGUCGUCCGAACUGAGGGAGAACGGAGGAGGGAGAGGGGAUUGGCGACGGCGGCGGUGGCCUGAUGCUCCUGCUGCCCGUCGAUCCAGAGAGGGUGAGAGUGGCGGUGGCGGGUAGCUACUGCUGCUGCUCUCCGGCUGAAACAGAGGGAGUGGGGCGACGAUGUCAGAGAGAAUGAGGGAGGCGGCGAUGGCGGUGGUCCGGCUGACCGCUGUUUUCGGCUGAAGCAGAGGGGGCGGUUCCGGCGGUUACGUCGCCGGAAAUCGAAGGAAAGAGAACCUAGGGUUGCUGAUUUGGGAAAUUUUUGUGAGGGAAGAGAUAAGGGGGACGAGCGAGAGAGCGAAAGUCGGGAGAAGGAAGGAAAGUCAGAGGGAGCGGCGGCGGCGGCACUCGCCGGCCGUCUGUCGACGGGAAAUUGAGAGAAAAGGGGGAGAGUUUCAUUAGCUACUUCAUCUGGUUCAGUUUUGAGAAUGAAAGAACGGGGUUUGAGUGAUUUUGAUGAGGGGAAGAAGGUGGUGGUGGCAGCUGGUGGCGAUUUCGCCGGGAAUGGAAGGCGGCGGCGUCGACAGGAGAGAAGAGGAAAAGAGAGAGAGACCGAAGGGGAGAGUGAGAGAGUGUCUGUGUGUGUACGUUGAGAAAAAGGAGAAGAAAGGAGAGAUUGAAGAAGGUGAGUUGGGCUCUAGCUUUGGGCCUUUAAUUUUAUUAAGUGGGCUGCAUUUUUUAUAACUUGGGCUUCAUGCAUAUAUUUCUAUUGGGCUGCAUGUUUAUUUGUUUGGUUAUAUGUUUUAAUUAUAAGUUAAAGUCUUACAAAUAUUUGUAAGCAAAAUAUUUUUAAGUUGAUUUUAUGCUCAAGAUGAGUUUUUAAGUAAAAGCCGAGCAAGGAUAUUAUUGAAAUCCUUAGCCAAGAAAAAUGAUUUUCAAGUUUUAUGUUGAAUUUUUGAAAAUCCGGGUGUUGCGAAUCUAGUUAGAAAUGAUGACAAGUCAUGAAGGUUAAGCUUGAUUUUAGGACUAUGAGUUUAAGUUGAGAACUUAUCUUGUAGGUCCUACAGAAGAGGAUAUUUAGGCUCUUGUUCAGCUGAGUUAUUUGUUUGGAUUUUCUCCAAAUCAGGUGAGGCUUUAUUUACGAAAUGUAUGUUUGAGCUAAUAAGCUCGGUUUUAUGUAAAGUUAAAGAUGAUGGUUCAUGCUUAAAAUGUUUUUGCUCUCUAUUGGUUACUGCUUCUACCAGAACAUUGUUGGCUCCGCCAACCAGAACAUUGUUAGCUCUGCUAACCAGAAUUGUGUACGUACACCAGAACCUGUUGUCUCGAGAGAUCGGUGACAACCAGUUGUAGAUAGCAUGCCCAAUAGAUGGCCAGGAAAAUAUGAGCUCAGAUUAUUUUAGUAUGCAUGGAAUGACUCGUCUUUAAAAACAUUCUGUGUUAUACUGUUUAAAGGCAUGAAUUAUCUUUUUCAGUAAAUGAUUUUUAAAAUGUUUUUAAAUGGCUCAACCCACUGAGUACACUAGUACUCAGCCCUGCAAUUGUUUUCAAAACCUUUUGCAGAUUGAGCAGCUGGUGGUGACGUGCGAGGCUGAGGAAGGGUUGUUGCUGUGGAUUCUGAAGAAAUACUGCGUUUACUUCUCCUAAAAUAAAUUCACUUAGUGAAUAUUAUCUGAUGCCUAAUUAUAUUAAUACUUUUAUUCAUAUUUCUAAUAUGAAUUUCAUUCUCCAUCACUUUUCUAGCGAUUGUUUUUCGCAUCUAUUAUAUGCUUAGUAUGAGACGUUGUUUUGGUCUCAGACCUUCGAACUUCCGAUCCUGAUAGGGAGAAUAAUUAUGUUAUAAUGUCGUACUUGUUUUCAUUUAAAUACGGCAUAAUGUCCAACCCUCAGGGCACAUUACCUAUUUUAUUCAAGUAAAGCUUAGUAGUCCUGUCACAUAGCCCAUUUCUUAUUCUCCCGGGAAAUCAGGGCUGUCACA